AAUUGCAUUGAAUUUUUCGAACGUAGUUUUCCAGCAUCCAAACUAUCUGUGACAAUUUUUUUGCUAUAAUAGUCAAUGUGUUACGCAUAAGAAUAUGAAGUUGAUAAUGAUACAUGUAUUUGGCAAAUCAGCUGCAAUGCGACGCUGAAGCGCACCAAUAUGUGCACCUCUGUAAGAUUUUUGUGUAUGCGCGCCUCGUCGGCGAAAGGCGGCCGCCUCGACGCGCGGAGGCGCUGAGGUGCGAGAAUGUAGGAAUCGAGAUAUGCAGGUAUAUUUAAAUAAACGUGAUUUCGGCAAAAAAAAAUCAAAAUUUCAGACGUGAUUUCAGCAA
This is a long non-coding RNA of Salvia miltiorrhiza (redroot sage), 331 nucleotides long. RefSeq lists it as uncharacterized. The transcript is spliced from 2 exons. The record is from RefSeq and is a predicted model, not a curated record. Lineage: Eukaryota; Viridiplantae; Streptophyta; Magnoliopsida; Lamiales; Lamiaceae.